UAAUAAUAAGUAUGUGGUAUAUACAUACAAUGAAAUAUUAUUCCACUAUAAUGAGGAAUGAUUACUAACACAAGCUACCAUGUGGAUGAACCUCUAAAACAUUAUGCCAAGUGAAAGAAGCUAGACACAAAAGGCCACAUAUUGUAUAAUUCCUUUUAUAUAAAAAGUCUAGAAGAAAUAAGUCCAUAGAGACAAAAUGCAGAGUGGUGGUUGACAGGGCCUUGGAGGAGGAGGUGGAAAUGAGAAACUGUUUGAUGUGUAAUGGAUUUUACUUUGGAGUGAUGGAAAUGUUUUGAAACUAGACAUAGGUUGUUGUUGCACAGCACUGUAAGUGUACCAAGUGCCACUGAAUUGUCCUUUUAAAAUUCAUUAUGAAUUUCAUGUCAACAAAUUAUUUUUAAAAUGAAGGGGUAUAAAUGACAAAAACGAAAGCCAUUGUGAGAUCAAGGAAGAUAUGGACUGAAAAGUUUCCAUUUGCUUUAAAGAGAUCUGUUGGUGGUGUAGUAGGAAGAGGCCAGAUUGCAGUGGGUUGAAGAAUGAGUAGGCUGUUGAGAAGUGGAGAUAUUAAGCAUUGAAUCUGAAGAAAUUUGGCUGUAAAGAGAAAGAAGAAAGGUAAAUUUCUAGCUGAAGAUUGAUGUGCCAUCCAGAGUUUUUUUUAUUGUUUUUAAGAUGAGGUGACUCUACCAUUUUUAACUGUUCACAGGAGUUAUGUGGUGGAAAGCGGCAGGCUGGAGUUAUGCAGCUCACUUUCUAGCCAGAAGGAAGGAUACUGAAUGGAGGCACAUUGCUAAGUUAGGUGAUGGUGAGGAAAUACAGACUCAGAGGGGUUGAAACGUGUUAGAGUCUGCAUAGGCUUUCUGACUCUGGGGAUGUGUUUUGGAACAUCUGCGUGAGACAUUAAGAAGUAUAAUUGAUUAAAUGACUAUAUGUGGAACUUACCAGAAUAUAAGCUGGAGAGACGAAAACAACUCCUCACCUCUGCAGAAGGCUGCAUCUAUUGCACACAGAUGAGAAAAUAGAGGUUUCCCUGAAAUCACA
This 1038-nucleotide long non-coding RNA is filed under the name Macaca mulatta (Rhesus monkey). RNAcentral's name for it is "lncRNA (ENSMMUG00000051493.1)". Lineage: Eukaryota; Metazoa; Chordata; Mammalia; Primates; Cercopithecidae. The record is from RNAcentral.